UGAAAUGCGAUGACGAGACGAGUAAAUAAAUCGAUUCUUUCACAGAGAGCUCCGUUUAGCUGAAAAGGGGCAAAGGGUUGUUUAUUGAAUAAAGACUCUGAGCAGCGCAUCGGAACUGGUCCAAACCGGGGAUGAUGCGACAGGAGCUCCUGUUACAGAGCUAGAGUAUAAGCAUUACAGCGUAAUGCAGUACUUGAAGAGGCUGAUAUGGCGACAUAUGAGCGAAUCUGGGGUGGUACCACGAGUAUUCAAAUCUCGUCCCUAAG
Molecule: non-coding RNA, 266 nt
Filed under: Paenibacillus curdlanolyticus
Lineage: Bacteria; Bacillati; Bacillota; Bacilli; Caryophanales; Paenibacillaceae
Description: T-box sequence
Rfam family: T-box leader
About the family: Uncharged tRNA acts as the effector for transcription antitermination of genes in the T-box leader family. T-boxes are found upstream of many aminoacyl-tRNA synthetase genes and some amino acid biosynthetic genes usually in Gram-positive bacteria.
Source: RNAcentral